UACGUAGGCAGCGAGCGUUGUUCGGAGUUACUGGGCGUAAAGGGUGUGUAGGCGGUUGUUUAAGUUUGGGGUGAAAUCUCCCGGCUCAACUGGGAGGGUGCGCCGAAUACUGAAUGACUAGAGUGCGGGAGAGGAAAGUGGAAUUCCUGGUGUAGCGGUGAAAUGCGUAGAUAUCAGGAGGAACAUCGGUGGUGUAGACGGCUUUCUGGACCGUAACUGACGCUGAGACACGAAAGCGUGGGUAGCAAACAGG
This 253-nucleotide ribosomal RNA is filed under the name uncultured bacterium. Its description in RNAcentral is "partial 16S ribosomal RNA". It matches the Rfam family "Bacterial small subunit ribosomal RNA", at positions 524 to 776 of the family's 1533-position model. The record is from RNAcentral.